ACUCUAAUGAGACUGCCGGUGAUAAACCGGAGGAAGGUGGGGACGACGUCAGAUCAUCAUGCCCCUUAUGACCUGGGCAACACACGUGCUACAAUGGGAAGUACAACGAGUCGCAAACCGGCGACGGUAAGCUAAUCUCUUAAAACUUCUCUCAGUUCGGACUGGAGUCUGCAACUCGACUCCACGAAGGCGGAAUCGCUAGUAAUCGCGAAUCAGCAUGUCGCGGUGAAUACGUUCCCGGGUCUUGUACACACCGCCCGUCAAAUCAUGGGAGUCGGAAGUACCCAAAGUCGCUUGGCU
RNAcentral lists this ribosomal RNA (300 nucleotides) under Oenococcus oeni. RNAcentral's name for it is "bacterial SSU rRNA". It matches the Rfam family "Bacterial small subunit ribosomal RNA", at positions 1137 to 1436 of the family's 1533-position model. The record is from RNAcentral. Lineage: Bacteria; Bacillati; Bacillota; Bacilli; Lactobacillales; Lactobacillaceae.